Humulus lupulus (European hop) is the source of this 631-nucleotide long non-coding RNA. RefSeq lists it as uncharacterized. The record is from RefSeq and is a predicted model, not a curated record. The transcript has 2 exons. Lineage: Eukaryota; Viridiplantae; Streptophyta; Magnoliopsida; Rosales; Cannabaceae.
CAGAAUUCUUUCUCACCUUCUCUAUGAUAUCACAUUCUCAAUUCUCUCUCUUACUUUACUCUCUCAAUCUCUUCAUCUUCCCCAUUUCUCAAUCAAUUUUCUCCAUAUUUCUAACCUUUUGUAAUCAUCUAUGGUGCUAUGUUUGUAACUUUGAGCUCAUUUAUUUGACUUUUCCUGCUGCGAAGGGGACCUGAGGCAAGCCUAAGGAGGAGGACAUUGAUGGCUCCAUAGUGUCUAAGGAGAAAUAAUUAAAACGAAAAUUGUCUCUCUUUGUCUAAGGUGGGGGUUGGAAAUGGGUCAAAUUAUGUCUCCAAAAGUGUUGAGGAUGAAGGUUUGUGUAGUAGUAGUAGUGGUAGUAGCAAACAUAAUACUAUGAAUUAUGUUGUCUGUAAAAGCAUGUUACAAACCUAUGUAUUAUGUUGUCUGUAAAAGCAUGUUACAUGUUUGUAACAUAUAAAUUCAUAGUUGUCGUUGUCUGUAAAAGCUUGUUACAGGUUCGUAACAUGUAAAUUCAUCGUUGCUGUAAAAGCUUGUUACAGGUUUGUAACACGUAAGUUCUCUAUCAUGUUUUUUUUUGUUUAAGUUGCAAGAUAAUGGUUUUGUUCUAUACAUACUAGGUUAUAUUUGUUUA